Molecule: long non-coding RNA, 229 nt
Filed under: Panax ginseng (ginseng)
Lineage: Eukaryota; Viridiplantae; Streptophyta; Magnoliopsida; Apiales; Araliaceae
Description: long non-coding RNA (PGIN_LNC006534)
Source: RNAcentral
AAUGUCUAGAAAGUUCUGUCUAAGGAGAGGUUUGGUCACCUAAAUGCGCGCCAAUAAGGAGAAAUUCUUAUUGGAAAGCCCCCUCUUUCCUGGAAACUGUCUGGUUGUCAAUAUUGUGAUUCUGUAAAAUUAUUUGUGAAUAAUUAAUUAUUGAUUCAUAUGAUGAGGAAAAUAUUGAUUUUAUGUGGAUAUAGAUGGAGAAAAUUUUUAAUGUGACAAUUGUUGAAAA